This 735-nucleotide long non-coding RNA is filed under the name Hordeum vulgare. RNAcentral's name for it is "long non-coding RNA (HVUL_LNC013473)". The record is from RNAcentral. Lineage: Eukaryota; Viridiplantae; Streptophyta; Magnoliopsida; Poales; Poaceae.
UUGUAUGCUAUUAGUCAUUGAUUUUGGGUCCUGCUGCGGUCCGAACAUUUUGGGAACCCCGGGUUCUGGUUACGGGGAACUCGUAAAAACUCACAGUUUUGGCCUAUUCCACCCAGUUUUGUAUGCUAUUAGUCACUGAUUUUGGGUCCCGUUGUGAUCGAAACGUUUCCGGACCCUCGGGGUCCGGUUAUGGGAACUCGUCAAAAACUCGCAGUUUUGGUGUAUUCUGGCUAGUUCUGUAUGCUAUUCCUCACUGAUUUUGGAUGCCGCUGCGAUCCGAACGUUUUGGGAACCCCGAGGUCUAGUUACGGGGAACUGGUCAAAACUUGCAGUUUUCGCCUAUUUUGGGCACAUUUGUAUGCUAUAAGUCACGGAUUUUGGGUCUUCCUGCAAUCCAAACGUUUUGGGAACCCCGGGGUCCAGUUACGCAUAACUCGUCAAAACUCACAGUUUUGGCCUAUUUCGGCCAGUUUUCUAUGCAAUUAGUCACUGAUUUUGGGUCCCGCUGUGAUCCGGAUGUUUUCGGAACAUCGGGGUCCGGUUAUAGGGAACUCGUCCAAACUCGCACGUUUGUCCUAUUCUGGCUAGUUCUGCAUGCUAUUGCUCACUGAUUUUGGAUCCCGCUGCGAUUCGAACGUUUUGGGAACGCCGGGGUCCGGUUACGGGAACUCAUCAAAACUCGCAGUUUUGGCCUACUCCAGCCAGUUUUGUAUGCUAUUAGUCACUGAUUUUGGG